Long non-coding RNA from Xiphophorus hellerii (green swordtail), 530 nucleotides. RefSeq lists it as uncharacterized. NCBI's taxonomy places the organism in Eukaryota, Metazoa, Chordata, Actinopteri, Cyprinodontiformes, Poeciliidae. The transcript is spliced from 2 exons. The record is from RefSeq and is a predicted model, not a curated record.
AACGUGUGCUACGGUUAAUGUCGGACAUUUCCCAUGGGGAAAACUGGGCCUGAGGGGGAAACGACGGGGAGCAGAGAGGUUCAUAGGGGUCACGGAGGUCACCCCUCACUUCGCUGGCUCCGUCCACACACACCGUGAAAUAUUUCAGGGACCCCCUGCCUGUUUUAUCCACACUGCAAAAACACCAAACUGUACCAACUCUGUUUAGUCUUGUUUCUAAUGAAAAUAUAGGAGCUUGUUUAAGGUAAAUAGUUCCUUAAUAUUCAUGAAAAAGUUCUAGUUCCCCUAGUACUUUGGCAGAUAAAUGUACUUAAGACAAUUCCUCCAUGUUAUAAGUGAAAUAAUCUGCCAAUGGAGCUAGCUCUUUUUCAUCAAUAUUAAAGAUGAAACGGGCGUCAAACUCUUAAAGGCCAGAAUGCAUUGAAAAAACCUGUUCACAAAUUGUUAAAAUAUCAAUGAAUUCUGCAAAUUAAAUGAUAUUACUGAUUAUCUUUUCAGUCCCUCCAGGAUUUCAUGUUUCUUUUUGGGAU